UGUAGUAAACGUGCGUCUCGAUUCCUGCGAAUUGAAUCCACCACUAGAGGUAUCCACGUGCAUGUCGAUUCGAUGCAGGAACAAUUCCCAGUGCAUGUUUCAAUCUUCGACAGCUAGGAAAUCUCCGAUUGAAACCAUAGUACUCUCUAGGUGUUUUCUCUUCUAAUGUUUUCGUAUAUUUUCAUAUAUGAUUCGUAAGACCAAGCUCCCUUAUUUAUAAGCGAAGAAGACAAUUCUAAAUUGUCUUGUCUUCCUUAGUCAACAAUUACGACUAAGGAAUUCACACUUGAGUCAACAAUUACGACUAAGGAAUUCACACUUGAACUGUCUUACUUAGUAUUAGAAUAUAUCAAAUAUAUCCUAAUCUAGUCCAUAAUAUCUUUCAAUCUCCCACUUGGACUAGCAUUAGUUUGAAGUCCAAGCAUUGAAGUUUGCACUCUUGAGCGAAUCAACAAUACACAUAAAGUGUGACCCUUUAGGCCUCCAUUAUUCGACGAUAAUCAAAUUAAAGUCUACACAAAACUCCUAGACUGCGUUGUGUAGCGAACUCGAUAUAUGAAGAACGUUUACGUGGAUUCUAUAAACAAACCUUUAUAUGAAGUNCUCGAUCCUUGCCGUGAAUCCACUACUAAGGUAUCCACGUGCAUGUCGAUUCGAUGCAGGAACAAUUCCCAGUGCAUGUUUCAAUCUUCGACAGCUAGGAAAUCUCCGAUUGAAACCAUAGUACUCUCUAGGUGUUUUCUCUUCUAAUGUUUUCGUAUAUUUUCAUAUAUGAUUCGUAAGACCAAGCUCCCUUAUUUAUAAGCGAAGAAGACAAUUCUAAAUUGUCUUGUCUUCCUUAGUCAACAAUUACGACUAAGGAAUUCACACUUGAGUCAACAAUUACGACUAAGGAAUUCACACUUGAACUGUCUUACUUAGUAUUAGAAUAUAUCAA
RNAcentral lists this long non-coding RNA (937 nucleotides) under Salvia miltiorrhiza (redroot sage). Its description in RNAcentral is "long non-coding RNA (SMIL_LNC007893)". The record is from RNAcentral. Lineage: Eukaryota; Viridiplantae; Streptophyta; Magnoliopsida; Lamiales; Lamiaceae.